CCUACGGGAGGCAGCAGUAGGGAAUCUUGCGCAAUGGAGGAAACCCUGAUGCAGCGACGCCGCGUGAGUGAAGAAGUAAUUCGUUAUGUAAAACUCUAUCAGCAGGGAAGAAAAUGACGGUAACUGAGUAAGAAGCCCCGGCUAACUACGUGCCAGCAGCCGCGGUCAUACGUAGGGGGCAAGCGUUAUCCGGAUUUACUGGGUGUAAAGGGAGCGUAGACGGCAGUGCAAGUCUGGAGUGAAAGGCGGGGGCUCAACCCCCGGACGGCUUUGGAAACUGUACGGCUGGAGUGCAGGAGAGGUAAGUGGAAUUCCUAGUGUAGCGGUGAAAUGCGUAGAUAUUAGGAGGAACACCAGUGGCGAAGGCGGCUUACUGGACUGUAACUGACGUUGAGGCUCGAAAGCGUGGGGAGCAAACAGGAUUAGAUACCCCAGUAGUC
This 440-nucleotide ribosomal RNA is filed under the name uncultured bacterium. Its description in RNAcentral is "partial 16S ribosomal RNA". It matches the Rfam family "Bacterial small subunit ribosomal RNA", at positions 338 to 795 of the family's 1533-position model. The record is from RNAcentral.